AUUGAACGCUGGCGGAAUGCUUUACACAUGCAAGUCGAACGGCAGCACGGACUUCGGUCUGGUGGCGAGUGGCGAACGGGUGAGUAAUGUAUCGGAACGUGCCCAGUCGUGGGGGAUAACGUGGUGAACAUUACGUAACUACCGCAUAGGACAUGGGGAUGAAUGAGGGGAAACGAAAGCCGUCGCCAGCUUGGGGCGGACGACAUCAUAUUAGGUAGUUGGUGGGGUAAAGGCUCCCCAAGCCAACGAUCUGUAGCUGGUCUGAGAGGACGACCAGCCACACUGGAACUGAGACACGGUCCAGACUCCUACGGGAGGCAGCAGUGGGGAAUUUUGGACAAUGGGCGAAAGCCUGAUCCAGCCAUUCCGCGUGCAGGAUGAAGGCCCUCGGGUUGUAAACUGCUUUUGUACAGAACGAAAAGGUUUCUACUAAUACUAGGAGCUCAUGACGGUACUGUAAGAAUAAGCACCGGCUAACUACGUGCCAGCCGCCGCCGUAA
Molecule: ribosomal RNA, 500 nt
Filed under: uncultured bacterium
Lineage: Bacteria
Description: partial 16S ribosomal RNA
Rfam family: Bacterial small subunit ribosomal RNA
Source: RNAcentral